UACGAGAGGGGCUAGCGUUGUUCGGAAUUACUGGGCGUAAAGCGCGUGUAGGCGGGUUCUUAAGUCGGGGGUGAAAGCCCAGGGCUCAACCCUGGAAUUGCCUCCGAUACUGAGAACCUGGAGUGUGGGAGAGGUGAGCGGAAUUCCGAGUGUAGAGGUGAAAUUCGUAGAUAUUCGGAGGAACACCAGAGGCGAAGGCGGCUCACUGGACCAUAACUGACGCUGAGACGCGAAAGCGUGGGGAGCAAACAGG
This 253-nucleotide ribosomal RNA is filed under the name uncultured bacterium. RNAcentral describes it as "partial 16S ribosomal RNA". It matches the Rfam family "Bacterial small subunit ribosomal RNA", at positions 524 to 776 of the family's 1533-position model. The record is from RNAcentral.